GUCCUCCUGAUCCAAUGGUUGCUGGUGCAUGGUAUGAACUUGUAGAACUCCUCCUGGACGCCUAGAAUACCACCUGAUUGGUUGAAAUGAUCUCCUGGUCGCCAAUGCCUGGUUUGAAGCUGAUUGAACCGGUUAGCUUCCAAUCGAGGUAAGUGCAGAACUGGUUUGACCGGUUUUGGAAUAUUGAUCAUAACUUCUGAUUUCCGAGUCCAUUUCUCCUAAUAUUUGGUUUUCUGAAAAGCUGAUGGAUCCUUCUUGAAUCCUAUGAUGGGCUUUGGUUCAGGCCGCUCUUUUCUUGGGCUUGAAUCUUUUUCCAAAGUCGGGUACUCGCAGAUGGACGGGUUGGAAAACCUCUGACUUGUAAAAUUCAUAACUUUUUGGUCCGUGAAUAUUUUGGCUCGAUUCCAAUUGGGAAGGACUCCUUCUUGAGUGUAGAAUCCAAUAAAAUUGGUUUCAUGUUGAAAGUCCUUCUUUUUGUGGAAAUAUACGCCUUGAACUGAACCUUGGUCGCUGGUACCUCCUAGAUGACCGGUUUGAACGGUUUGGUGAGACUCUGGUUGAACCAUAGAUUUCGUAACCAUAACAUUUAUGUUUGGUGGUUCAGCUGAAGUAAUGACUCGAUGUUGGUAAGUUUGUUUGUGCAGGUAGAAGCAGAUUUGGCAGCUACGAGUUAGUAUCCGUGCAGGUAGAAGCAGAAACAGCUUGAAGCAGCUAGUAUCAUAUUUUUAAUGUGACGUAUCGCGGGACGGCCCGUGAAGGCUUACACAUUUAACGGUACGAGAUUGGGCAGCUAGUUUGAGGACCGCAUCCCGCGCGGGACGGUCCCGCCGUAUACAGGGACGGGACAGGAUGUGAGAGCCCAAUUGCCAUCCCUAAUAAACCCUUGACGACGUUUUUCUGCCGGAGAGUUUAAAGUUCGCCGCAAGACGGAGAGAGAGAGACUUUUCACGAGGACGGUGAAGGAAUGGCUGAUUGCAGCAGCGGAGAGGAAGAUCCCAAGUGGAAAGCGGCCAUCAAUUCGAUAGCCACCACCACCGUUUACGGCGCUUCCGUCACGAAACCUGCAGCUACUUAACUAUAUGAAGAUGGAGAUUUUCGAAUUAAACCUAAAAAGCUAACGCAUGCCCAGAUCAAGGUGAAGAAUGAAAUGGUGGAGAACACGUUAGACUUUGUCAAAGAUCCUGUCAAUAUUCCCGAGGUUGAAGAAACCGAGAAAGAGUGUGGAGUUCGAUUAUUUAAGUGGUGUUCAACUGGCAUAGUCUUUGAUCAUGUAGAUGAGCUUGAAGGACCCCAAAAAGAAGCCUAAUUUACGCCCUGGCAGAGGAAUUAAUAGGAGCUCUAAAGAGUUUAAGAAAGGAAUAAAAUCGAUAGCUGUUGACGGCUCAGAUGUUUUAUCUGCUGCUAUGGAAGCAGCUAAGAGAGCCUCAUCCAGACUAGAGGUAACUAAAGAAGCGGCUGCAAAAAUUUUAAAGCCAAGAAAGAAGAAGAAAGAGUAGCGGUACGAGGCUAAAAAUGGCUACCUUCCGUUGCAUUGGUUUUGCAGCAAAACAAAACUUCAACACAGAGAUCUGCAAAUUCGUGAAAAGAUCCAUCCAUCCACUACAUUGGGAAUUUGAUCACUUGAAAAGAAGAAACAUAGAAUCACUUUGGCUACAAGCUAUUAAUGCAAGAGAUAGAGAGACAUCAUUUGUUCUUGACGUAAUGAGAGUGAAGUUCUUCAGAGAUGUUGUCAUCAUCUUUGAUCCAGACGAAAUCUUCUAAUCCAUCAUAAAUCUCCUCUGCUGCAUCUGCAUUUUUCUUGGCUUCUUGUUUAGAUGAUGCUGAUAAGAAAGCGUUCUUUAUUCCCUUAAUUAGUCUUUUACCGAGACUUUUCUGCGGCGGCGGAGAGGCUCCU
Long non-coding RNA from Brassica napus (rape), 1894 nucleotides. RefSeq lists it as uncharacterized. The transcript is spliced from 5 exons. The record is from RefSeq and is a predicted model, not a curated record. NCBI's taxonomy places the organism in Eukaryota, Viridiplantae, Streptophyta, Magnoliopsida, Brassicales, Brassicaceae.